AGAGCGAACGCUGGCGGCAGGCCUAACACAUGCAAGUCGAACGGACUCUUCGGAGUUAGUGGCGGACGGGUGAGUAACACGUGGGAACGUGCCUUUAGGUUCGGAAUAGCUCCUGGAAACGGGUGGUAAUGCCGAAUGUGCCCUUCGGGGGAAAGAUUUAUCGCCUUUAGAGCGGCCCGCGUCUGAUUAGCUAGUUGGUGAGGUAAAGGCUCACCAAGGCUACGAUCAGUAGCUGGUCUGAGAGGAUGACCAGCCACAUUGGGACUGAGACACGGCCCAAACUCCUACGGGAGGCAGCAGUGGGGAAUCUUGCGCAAUGGGCGAAAGCCUGACGCAGCCAUGCCGCGUGAAUGAUGAAGGUCUUAGGAUUGUAAAAUUCUCUCAGUAGGGACGAUAAUGACGGUACCUACAGAAGAAGCCCCGGACUAACUCGUGCCAGCAGCCGC
RNAcentral lists this ribosomal RNA (446 nucleotides) under uncultured soil bacterium. Its description in RNAcentral is "bacterial SSU rRNA". It matches the Rfam family "Bacterial small subunit ribosomal RNA", at positions 26 to 518 of the family's 1533-position model. The record is from RNAcentral.